GACGGAGGGGGCUAGCGUUGUUCGGAAUGACUGGGCGUAAAGGGCGCGUAGGCGGUUUUUUAAGUGAGGCGUGAAAGCCCUGGGCUUAACCCAGGAGGUGCGUUUCAUACUGGAAAGCUUGAGUGCGAGAGAGGAAAGUGGAAUUCCUAGUGUAGAGGUGAAAUUCGUAGAUAUUAGGAAGAACACCAGAGGCGAAGGCGGCUUUCUGGCUCGCAACUGACGCUGAGGCGCGAAAGCGUGGGGAGCAAACAGG
This 253-nucleotide ribosomal RNA is filed under the name uncultured bacterium. RNAcentral's name for it is "partial 16S ribosomal RNA". It matches the Rfam family "Bacterial small subunit ribosomal RNA", at positions 524 to 776 of the family's 1533-position model. The record is from RNAcentral.